This 253-nucleotide ribosomal RNA is filed under the name uncultured bacterium. RNAcentral describes it as "partial 16S ribosomal RNA". It matches the Rfam family "Bacterial small subunit ribosomal RNA", at positions 524 to 776 of the family's 1533-position model. The record is from RNAcentral.
UACGGAGGGGGCUAGCGUUUUUCGGAAUUACUGGGCGUAAAGCGCACGUAGGCGGAUUGUUAAGUCGGGGGUGAAAUCCCGGGGCUCAACCCCGGAAUGGCCUCCGAUACUGGCAAUCUUGAGGUCGGGAGAGGUGAGUGGAAUGGCGAGUGUAGAGGUGAAAUUCGUAGAUAUUCGCCGGAACACCAGUGGCGAAGGCGGCUUACUGGGCUUGAACUGACGCUGAGGUACGAAAGCGUGGGGAGCGAACAGG